UCUUCAGUGGUCCAGUGGUUAAGAUGCUGUGCUUCGACUGCAGAGACUGCAGGUUUAAUCCCUGCUCAGGGAA
RNAcentral lists this transfer RNA (73 nucleotides) under Bos taurus (domestic cattle). It matches the Rfam family "tRNA". From Rfam's summary of the family: Transfer RNA (tRNA) molecules are approximately 80 nucleotides in length. Their secondary structure includes four short double-helical elements and three loops (D, anti-codon, and T loops). Further hydrogen bonds mediate the characteristic L-shaped molecular structure. tRNAs have two regions of fundamental functional importance: the anti-codon, which is responsible for specific mRNA codon recognition, and the 3' end, to which the tRNAs corresponding amino acid is attached (by aminoacyl-tRNA synthetases). tRNAs cope with the degeneracy of the genetic code in two manners: having more than one tRNA (with a specific anti-codon) for a particular amino acid; and 'wobble' base-pairing, i.e. permitting non-standard base-pairing at the 3rd anti-codon position. RNAcentral also lists the same sequence under 5 other names. Lineage: Eukaryota; Metazoa; Chordata; Mammalia; Artiodactyla; Bovidae. The record is from Rfam by way of RNAcentral.